RNAcentral lists this unclassified non-coding RNA (87 nucleotides) under Pseudomonas migulae. The record is from RNAcentral. Lineage: Bacteria; Pseudomonadati; Pseudomonadota; Gammaproteobacteria; Pseudomonadales; Pseudomonadaceae.
GUAGGAGCCGGCUUGCUGGCGAUAGCGGUAUGUCAGUGUCAUCAAUGUUGAAUGACACACCGCAAUCGUCAGCAAGCCGGCUCCUAC